CCGGCACGGGUGGAGUAACACGUAUCCAACCUGCCGUCUACUCUUGGACAGCCUUCUGAAGGAAGAUUAAUACAAGAUGGCAUCAUGAGUUCACAUGUUCACAUGAUUAAAGGUAUUCCGGUAGACGAUGGGGAUGCGUUCCAUUAGAUAGUAGGCGGGGUAACGGCCCACCUAGUCUUCGAUGGAUAGGGGUUCUGAGAGGAAGGUCCCCCACAUUGGAACUGAGACACGGUCCAA
Molecule: ribosomal RNA, 237 nt
Filed under: uncultured bacterium
Lineage: Bacteria
Description: partial 16S ribosomal RNA
Rfam family: Bacterial small subunit ribosomal RNA
Source: RNAcentral